Molecule: ribosomal RNA, 305 nt
Filed under: uncultured bacterium
Lineage: Bacteria
Description: bacterial SSU rRNA
Rfam family: Bacterial small subunit ribosomal RNA
Source: RNAcentral
AUUACCUACGGGACGCAGCAGUGGGGGAUAUUGCACAAUGGGGGCAACCCUGAUGCAGCGACGCCGCGUGAGCGAUGGAGUACUUCGGUAUGUAAAGCUCUGUCAGCAGGGAAGAGAAUGACGGUACCUGACCAAGAAGCCCCGGCUAAAUACGUGCCAGCAGCCGCGGUAAUACGUAGGGGGCAAGCGUUAUCCGGAUUUACUGGGUGUAAAGGGAGCGUAGACGGCAGUGCAAGUCUGGAGUGAAAGGCGGGGGCUCAACCCCCGGACUGCUCUGGAAACUGUACGGCUGGAGUGCAGGAGGG